AUACCUUUUUUUAAGGGAUAGGGUCGGUUCGGCCGGAUUUCACACAGGUGUUGCAUGGCUGUCGUCAGCUCGUGUCGUGAGAUGUUGGGUUAAGUCCCGCAACGAGCGCAACCCUCAUCCUUAGUUACCAUCAGAUUAUGCUGGGGACUUUAAGGAAACUGCCAGUGAUAAACUGGAGGAAGGUGGGGAUGAUGUCAAGUCAUCAUGGCCCUUAUGGAGUGGGCUACACACGUGCUACAAUGGUGAUUACAAUGGGCUGCAAGGUCGCAAGGCUGAGCUAAUCCUAAAAAAUCAUCUCAGUUCGGAUUGCUCUCUGCAACUCGAGAGCAUGAAGUUGGAAUCGCUAGUAAUCGUGGAUCAGCAUGCCACGGUGAAUACGUUCUCGGGUCUUGUACACACUGCCCGUCACGCCAUGGGAAUUGGU
Molecule: ribosomal RNA, 424 nt
Filed under: Wolbachia endosymbiont of Aphis sambuci
Lineage: Bacteria; Pseudomonadati; Pseudomonadota; Alphaproteobacteria; Rickettsiales; Anaplasmataceae
Description: bacterial SSU rRNA
Rfam family: Bacterial small subunit ribosomal RNA
Source: RNAcentral